RNAcentral lists this long non-coding RNA (279 nucleotides) under Mytilus galloprovincialis (Mediterranean mussel). The record is from RNAcentral. Lineage: Eukaryota; Metazoa; Mollusca; Bivalvia; Mytilida; Mytilidae.
GAGUACUCUAUAGUGCCUAACAAGAUUUUGUGAGGUAGACGAAAUUGACUUUAAAACGAUCGUAUUGACUUUUGAUGUUCAGAAAUAGGCAGAUCGAACAUAUUUUGACUUUAUUUACUGACUUCUUAAGUUUGGGAUUAAUUGUAAUUAACACUUUCCAAUGAGACUGACAAAUGCUUUUUUUUGUUAUGAUAAAUAAUAAUUUUACCUGCCGUAGUCGUGCGUAAAAUAUAUUUCGGCAUUUCUCUUAAGAAAUGACUUGUUUAAUGGAAAAAAACG